This 267-nucleotide long non-coding RNA is filed under the name Lathyrus oleraceus (garden pea). Its description in RNAcentral is "Pisum sativum (pea) long non-coding RNA (PSAT_LNC014900)". Lineage: Eukaryota; Viridiplantae; Streptophyta; Magnoliopsida; Fabales; Fabaceae. The record is from RNAcentral.
AAAAAUAAAAAGUUGAAGGGUAGCCGUGGCCUUCCCACGCCCCCUCAGUUCCGCCACUGAGUAAAAAACAAUUGUUUCACAAAAAUAGGUAAGCUAUUUUGCAGCAAGUUAAAAAGCAUUUUUGAUUACUUCCCUUUCCAUCAAUAGACAUCUAUUUGAAGAAAAAACAGCACCAAAAAAGAAAAAAGAAAAAGCCUAGCAGCAUAAAAAAUCAGAUAAAAACACAGAAGGAACCAUAUUCGAAAAUCACCAAGAAAUUUCAGCAAC